RNAcentral lists this ribosomal RNA (253 nucleotides) under uncultured bacterium. Its description in RNAcentral is "partial 16S ribosomal RNA". It matches the Rfam family "Bacterial small subunit ribosomal RNA", at positions 524 to 776 of the family's 1533-position model. The record is from RNAcentral.
UACGGGGGGGGCAAGCGUUGUUCGGAAUUACUGGGCGUAAAGGGCGCGUAGGCGGCCCUCUAAGUCGAACGUGAAAUCCCCGGGCUCAACCCGGGAACUGCGUCCGAUACUGGAGGGCUCGAAUCCGGGAGAGGGAUGUGGAAUUCCAGGUGUAGCGGUGAAAUGCGUAGAUAUCUGGAGGAACACCGGUGGCGAAGGCGGCAUCCUGGACCGGUAUUGACGCUGAGGCGCGAAAGCCAGGGGAGCAAACGGG